AGUCAGACAGUGUGAGAUAAGUUUCAUUGUCAAAAGGGAAACAGCCCAGACCCACAGCUAAGGUCCCAAAGUACAGUUAAGUGGUGAAGGAUGUGGAAUUGCAUAGACAACCAGGAUGUUGGCUUAGAAGCAGCCACUCAUUAAAAGAGUGCGUAAUAGCUCACUGGUCGAGUGAUUCUGCGCCGAAAAUUUAACGGGGCUAAAUUGUACACCGAAGCUUGGGAUACAUCUAAUGUAUGGUAGGAGAGCGUUGUAUACGGGGUGAAGUCAGAGCGGAAGCGCUGGUGGACUGUAUACAAGUGAGAAUGCCGGAAUGAGUAGCGAGAAUUAUGUGAGAAUCAUAAUGGCCGAAAGACUAAGGUUUUAGAAGGAAGGUUCGUCCGCUUCUAGUCAGCCGGGAGCUAAGGCGAGGCCGAAAGGCGUAGUCGAUGCACAUACGGUGGAGAUUCCGUAGCCGCCAUUAAUUUAAACAGAGGGACACUUUCAAGGGGCAUGACCCGGGCGUUGGUAGACCCGGGCGUAAGGGACCGAAAAUUAGUAGGGAAGCAUGCUUUAAGGAAGGCGAGAAAAGCUCUGUGUAUAGAAGAUGGCGCCCGUACCGCAAACCGACACAGGUAGUCAGGAAGAGAAUUCUAAGGCCAACGGGAGAAGGGUAGUUAAGGAACUCGGCAAAUUGACCCCGUAACUUCGGAAUAAGGGGUGCUCACGAGAGUGAGCCGCAGUGAAUAGGUCCAGGCGACUGUUUAUCAAAAACACAGCUCUCUGCUAAAUCGAAAGAUGACGUAUAGGGGGUGACACCUGCCCGGUGCUGGAAGGUUAAGAGGAAGGGUGCAAGCUCUGAAUUGAAGCCCCAGUAAACGGCGGCCGUAACUAUAACGGUCCUAAGGUAGCGAAAUUCCUUGUCGGGUAAGUUCCGACCCGCACGAAUGGUGUAACGAUCUGGACACUGUCUCAACUACCCACCCGGCGAAAUUGUAGUACCGGUGAAGAUGCCGGUUACCCGCGGCAAGACGGAAAGACCCCAUGGAGCUUUACUGUAACCUGAUAUUGGGUUUCGGUAUUUUAUGUACAGGAUAGGUGGGAGACUAUGAAACUAAGGCGCCAGCCUUAGCGGAGUCGCCCUUGGGAUACCACUCUUAAAGUACUGAAAUUCUAACCUGCGGCCGUGAAUCCGGUCGGGGGACAUUGUCAGGCGGGCAGUUUGACUGGGGCGGUCGCCUCCAAAAGAGUAACGGAGGCGCUCAAAGGUUCG
RNAcentral lists this ribosomal RNA (1252 nucleotides) under human gut metagenome. Its description in RNAcentral is "bacterial LSU rRNA". It matches the Rfam family "Bacterial large subunit ribosomal RNA", at positions 982 to 2320 of the family's 2925-position model. The record is from RNAcentral.